CCUACGGGAGGCAGCAGUGGGGAAUAUUGGGCAAUGGGCGCAAGCCUGACCCAGCAACGCCGCGUGAAGGAGGAAGGCUUUCGGGUUGUAAACUUCUUUUAAGGGGGAAGAGCAGAAGACGGUACCCCUUGAAUAAGCCACGGCUAACUACGUGCCAGCAGCCGCGGUAAUACGUAGGUGGCAAGCGUUGUCCGGAUUUACUGGGUGUAAAGGGCGUGCAGCCGGAGAGACAAGUCAGAUGUGAAAUCCACGGGCUCAACCCGUGAACUGCAUUUGAAACUGUUUCCCUUGAGUGUCGGAGAGGUAAUCGGAAUUCCUUGUGUAGCGGUGAAAUGCGUAGAUAUAAGGAAGAACACCAGUGGCGAAGGCGGAUUACUGGACGAUAACUGACGGUGAGGCGCGAAAGUGUGGGGAGCAAACAGGAUUAGAUACCCUUGUAGUC
RNAcentral lists this ribosomal RNA (442 nucleotides) under uncultured bacterium. RNAcentral's name for it is "partial 16S ribosomal RNA". It matches the Rfam family "Bacterial small subunit ribosomal RNA", at positions 338 to 795 of the family's 1533-position model. The record is from RNAcentral.